RNAcentral lists this long non-coding RNA (2321 nucleotides) under Homo sapiens (human). Its description in RNAcentral is "non-protein coding lnc-NFE2L3-6:1". Lineage: Eukaryota; Metazoa; Chordata; Mammalia; Primates; Hominidae. The record is from RNAcentral.
UAAAAAAUUGAUCCUGAUUUUUUACCUGUUUAGAUUUACACAACAUCUGAUGUUAACAGCCCUUAUGUGGCUGCCAUGUGCCAAAUGUAGACAAAAAAAACAAGAAGAAAACAUUCUUUGAGCUGGCCCAGAGCCAGGUUUGUCACACAAGGGCCCCUGCCCUCCAGGUAUCAUUUGGUUGCUGCCGUUCAUAGCAUUAGUGGUGUUGAAAUGAAGCCAGCUGUAUUCUUUGCAAACCAAUUUGUCCAAUAGCAUGGAUUAUUAGGACGGAUGGAACCAAUCAGGUUGACCAUGAAAUGUCCAGGGCCAAAUGCCAAGGUCAAGAAUGCCCAGGGUGGAUCUGAUUGGCACAAAGGUAAACAGAUCAAGCACAAGGCAUAAGUGAGUGAGGGCUGGUUAGGAACACCAUUCCUCAUAGGCCUGCAGGUCCUGACUCCUCUGCACGAGAUUAUCCAGAGCACUCUGAAUUCACUCAACGCAUGGACAAAGUUCCUAAAGUAGUUUAUGAUUAUGUAUUGGCUUGCCACUCUUGGAAAAACCUGUGGCUCGGAAUUCUCCACACCUCCCGAGAUAUGGUUUGUAUGGAAUGGGCUGAAGCAUAUUUUCUCCACUCAGAUAAACAUCAGGCAGUCUCAGAAGACCAUGCAUAGCUUAUUGCAGGAACGUAGGGAAGCACUGACUUGCCCACAAAAGCAUUCUCUUCACCGGUAGACUUGGCUCAAAUGUGGCUCAGAGAAGCUAUGUCUUGACUCAAGCUAAUACUUAGUAAUAAAGCUUCCUGGGAAGGUAAGACUGCCAAAGUUUAAGUGGUGGGUUUUUAUGACCAGGAUUAUGGUCCAUUAAGGGACGAGGAUGAAAACACCAGCUUGUUUCCUCUAGGCCGAACCACCAUCCUAUUUCCAAUUAAAGUCCCACAAGAAAAAUGCUGACGUUUCUCCUACAGAAACAAUCCUCCUGGCUCUUUCCCAAAAAACCCACCAUCGUCUGAAGCCACAUCCUCACAGCAUCAAGAUUCUGCAGUUUUGUUUUCUCCAAGAGAAUAAAUGGCCUAUAAAUAAAAUGAGCAUUCAUUGAUUUUUUUUAAUAAGAAAAGAGAGCACAUGAGAUUUGUUGAAUCUGAAUGGGAUGUGGAAACAGUGUUCCCUUCACUGAUGGAGAAUGAGAGUCCUUCCCAUUGAUGAUCUUGGCUUUGUGCUGAGGAAGGUGUACAUCAGCACCUAACUAUUACAGUGAAACCACAUGACCACGAAACAUUAUUCAGCUUUCACCUUUACCUUACCCUGUGUCUCAGGGAAUGAGAGUGAACAACCUUAUUCCUUCAGUAGUUAGUUCCAACAAUGACUGCCAUACCUGGCAAAGAAAGGUUCCUUCACUUCCAGACAUGGUCUGGUCAUUUUUGAGACCAAGGUGCACAGGUGUCAUGAGGGCACUCUAGGAAAAUCCUACUGGGUAAGAAUACUGGGAUGGAGAAAUUAAACAACUAUUCAACUAUUUAGGAAGGCUUGGAUCUGUCCCACAUUUCAAAGGAUGUCAAUGUGAUAAACUAUCCUUUGGACUUUUCCAAUAAUGAGUUUUUAAAAAUAGCUUUGCAUCAUGUAUUGAAAUAAAUUUCAAUCUAACCAAAGAGAUCUCAUAUGUACAUAAGGAAUCUCUCAAAAGCUAUUCAAAAGGAAGUAAAAGUGAAUAAUAAUAAACUAUUUUUAUAAGAAAUACUGAAGAGCCCUAUCAAGGAAAAUAUCUAAAAGGUUGUAAAAUAAAGUCAUCCUUAGGUUAACACAAGAAAGCCCCAAGAAAGAUAAGCCAAUUUCUCUUUAAGAAUAUUUUCAUCAAGCCAAGAGAUUUCAAAUAAAUCCAAACUGAAAACAAAACAAAAUGGAAGUUCUAACAUCACCUGGCUUAUGUGUGUUCUGUCAACACUUACUAAAUAACACAUUCACCUAUUUCUGAACACACAAAAGGAAAAUAUCCUUCAUGGACAGCCAGACCAAAUGUUUGUUAAUGGAAAAUUAAGGACAAAUGCAAAUUUUUGCAACAACUAUAAUUUGGCUCAAAUUGUCUUUCUGUCUCUCCUCCCCUUCCCAUGACCCACCCCAGGAUACAUUUAUCCCAAAUGAUUGUUUGGUUUAUCUUCAUACAGCAAGGCAUGUGAGGCAUGAUAUGUCCAAGGGGAAGAUUUUCCUUUUUUCUUUACCCACGCUUUAAGAUUUUCUAGAGGCUGGGGGGAAGGAAGAUGUCUGUGGGCUGUGGGCUGUGGGCUGAGGUUAUCCCCUGGCUGGGAAUUGGAUGAAGAAUUCCUCUUUAGUAGGAAUGCCUUCUCUCAC